This 745-nucleotide ribosomal RNA is filed under the name Salmonella enterica subsp. enterica serovar Infantis. Its description in RNAcentral is "partial 23S ribosomal RNA". It matches the Rfam family "Bacterial large subunit ribosomal RNA", at positions 2198 to 2925 of the family's 2925-position model. The record is from RNAcentral. Lineage: Bacteria; Pseudomonadati; Pseudomonadota; Gammaproteobacteria; Enterobacterales; Enterobacteriaceae.
UACCACCCUUUAAUGUUUGAUGUUCUAACGUGGAUCCGUAAUCCGGGUUGCGGACAGUGUCUGGUGGGUAGUUUGACUGGGGCGGUCUCCUCCUAAAGAGUAACGGAGGAGCACGAAGGUUGGCUAAUCCUGGUCGGACAUCAGGAGGUUAGUGCAAUGGCAUAAGCCAGCUUGACUGCGAGCGUGACGGCGCGAGCAGGUGCGAAAGCAGGUCAUAGUGAUCCGGUGGUUCUGAAUGGAAGGGCCAUCGCUCAACGGAUAAAAGGUACUCCGGGGAUAACAGGCUGAUACCGCCCAAGAGUUCAUAUCGACGGCGGUGUUUGGCACCUCGAUGUCGGCUCAUCACAUCCUGGGGCUGAAGUAGGUCCCAAGGGUAUGGCUGUUCGCCAUUUAAAGUGGUACGCGAGCUGGGUUUAGAACGUCGUGAGACAGUUCGGUCCCUAUCUGCCGUGGGCGCUGGAGAACUGAGGGGGGCUGCUCCUAGUACGAGAGGACCGGAGUGGACGCAUCACUGGUGUUCGGGUUGUCAUGCCAAUGGCACUGCCCGGUAGCUAAAUGCGGAAGAGAUAAGUGCUGAAAGCAUCUAAGCACGAAACUUGCCCCGAGAUGAGUUCUCCCUGAGACUUAGAGUCUCCUGAAGGAACGUUGAAGACGACGACGUUGAUAGGCCGGGUGUGUAAGCGCAGCGAUGCGUUGAGCUAACCGGUACUAAUGAACCGUGAGGCUUAACCUUACAACGCCGAAG